UUUUUUCAUUUAAAAAAAGUAAUUUCUUGGUGAUAAAAAGAAAUAUUUUUUUAGUAGCUUUUCGAUGCUAUAAAAAAAGUGUUGGCUAAGUUUGUAUGAUAAAAUUGGUGUUAUUUAUAUACCAGCACUUUCGCUAGGGUCUUAUUUAUUGGGAAAACUGAUUAAUAAACUAAUCUUCUGUUUUGUUUUCAGUUCAAAGAGUGGUAGAGUAGAGGAGGAGGCAUGGCUCAGACAUUUGGGUGCAGCUCUGGAGAUAGUAGAUGGUCUCUCAAGGGAAUGACUGCUCUUGUAACUGGUGGAACUAAAGGAAUUGGGUUGGUGUUACCUGUUUUUAUGUCUUUGGGUUUGGACUAUACCUUCCUAUAUAUAAACGUAUGUAUCAAUUCUGCAGGCAUGCAAUUGUGGAGGAACUGGCUGGAUUAGGAGCAACCAUACACACGUGUUCUCGAAAAGAAACCGAGCUCAAUGAAUGCUUGAAGGAUUGGAAAGCUAAAGGUUUUGGAGUGAGUGGUUCAGUGUGUGAUGUAUCCUCUCGGGCCCAAAGGGAGAAGCUAAUGGAGACUGUCUCUUCUGUGUUCAAAGGGAAGCUGAAUAUCCUUGUAAGUUCCUCUAGUCUCUAAGGUUCCGAUCCAUGAUAUUCCACAUACUUUGUCGAACUUCCAACAAUUUGAGUUCCCCUACUUGAUAUAUAUAUUUUGGUUCCGGAUUCAGGUCAACAACGCUGCUAUUGUUAUUCAGAAACCAACAGUAGAGGUCACGGCAGAAGAGUUCUCAACAAUCAUGGCCAUAAAUUUUGAAUCUGUGUAUCAUCUGUCCCAACUCGCACACCCCCUUUUAAAGGCAUCAGGAGCGGGAAGCAUUGUAUUCAUCUCCUCUGUUGCCGGCGUAGUGUCAAUCAAGUAUCUGUCUGCUUAUUCAGUAACCAAAGGUAUUUCAUUACAUGAUCCACAUUAUAUAUAUAUAUAUAUAUUGCAAGUUCUUGGGUUGUGGCCCUUGUGGCCUUCUCGGCGUGUCAUUAUCAUUAUCAUAUUGUGAUUUUUCAGGAGCAAUGAAUCAGCUUACAAAGAAUUUGGCAUGCGAGUGGGCGGAAGACAAUAUUAGAAGUAAUGCAGUUGCUCCUUGGUACAUCAAAACUCCGAUGGUGGAUCAGGUAAUUCAGUUGCUCUUCUGUUUUGUCUGGGAAAAUUCAAUAAUCAAUUCCUCUCUCUUUUCUGUCUUUUGCAUAAUCUGGGUUGCAGAUGUUCAGUAACAAAACCUUUCUGGAAGAGGUGAUAAAUCGAGCUCCACUUCGCCGUGUGGGAGAUCCGAAGGAGGUGUCAUCUUUGGUGGCAUUCCUCUGUCUACCAGCAUCGUCUUACAUUACUGGACAGACUAUUUGUGUCGAUGGUGGCGUGACUGUUAAUGGUUUUGAGCCAAACCUGUUCUAGGAACAUCAUUAAGACUCUCAAAAAUCUUAGCUUCCUCUACCGCUUUCCUGUUUGGAUCCUGUCUUUUUCCUGAAUAAUCUGUUUGUGGUGGUAAGUACUCUUCUGUUUUUUCGGUGUGGGGUUCAUUUGAAAACAUUGUUGCAUGAUGCUUAUAAUAAUCGUUGGAAAGUUUGUAAGAAGUUACUUAUCAUUGGAUGAGAUUCUUGUGAUGGGUGUUUCCUAUAAUCAGAUUUAUCUUGUUAUUGUAGUAAUAGGAUUGAAAGAAAAAUGCAAAUAAUCAUAAAAGGAUGAUGAAAAUCGGGAAGAGUUCAUCAUUUUUACUUAUUCAAAUAUUACACCAUCUCUUAUUUACAAUAAAUUUCAAAGAGUGUAAGUGAAACCAACCUUAAAUUAAUUUUGUUUGAUAAAUUUAGAUGAAAUUCAACAAGUGUGAAUCUUUAAUUUUUUUUCAUUUCAAUUAAUUUGGUAUCUAUUAUGAGGUUGCCCAUCAAGCUAAAAAUGACCAAAUAUGAUAUAAGCAUGAAGUCUUUGUUAUAUCUCGGAGAUUAAGAAUUGAUUCCAAUACUUUAUAACUUCCUCUUUUUACUUUAUAUAUCCAUGAAUUUAAGAUAGGUCCCUCACAUGUUUAGCUUCUCCCCUUGACGUACGUAGUGUCAUAUGGACAAUAAUUAAUGCUUGUUCAGCUAAGGUCAAAUAUAUGAAAACAAAUAAGAUUCAUUCACGUAAAACAUACAUGUAGCAAAGAGACGAAGGAAAGUGGGUUCUGUGAUCUAUCACACAUCAUGGAAAAAGCUGUGGUACCAUGGCUUUUCCAGGACUUUUCCUUGCAUAAUGGUACUGACAACAGUAUGCUAUUCUGUUGUUACUCUUAAGAUAUUUUAAUAUAAAGUAGCGCGUAUGUACUAUAUACAAUUCAGUGACGCCAUCUAACACGUUAGCCAAUAAGGUUACAAAUUUUAAUUUUAUAUUAAUAAUAUGAUUUGGGUAUGCUCCAUAUUUUAAAAUAUAAUUGAAUCAUAAAUAUCUAGAACUAGAAAUCCUUUUGAGGGACCAAUAACAUAAAUCAUUAAAAUUUUAUAAUUUGAUAUUAUAAAUUCCUAAUUAAAUUUUAAAAUAUAUUAAAUUUAUUUGAUAUAAAUAUAUAUAAAAAUAAAGAAAAAAAUUAAUAUUUUCAUAUGAUAAAUUAUACAAAAAAAAACAAAUAUAUUUUUUUUUAUCAAAGUUGUUUUCAACAAUAUUUCAAAAAUAUAUAUAUAAAUUUGGGAAACUUGUAUUUUGGAGCUGCUAUUUAGAAAUGAUAUGGUUUUCAGAACCCAAAAAUGGGAAAUAUGAUAAUCAAUUUUUAAUAUGAAAAGUAUUAUCGUUUUUGUGCAUUCUGAGUCGGCUUCAUCUUUUGUGCCCAAAUUGCCCCUCCAUGUCUCCAGCUCAGCAUUCUCAACAUCAUCCCAACCUCCAUGUCAGUAGGACCAUUGAAAUUAAGAAAAAAAAAAACACUAAAAUCUAAAUUUGUAACUUCUCAAAAAAAAAAAAACCCAAUAUGCAAGUUUUCAAUUUGCUCAUUUGGAAGCUUUUUCUCAUCUUUUUCUCUCAUUUUAGUUUAGAAACUCAAAUCCAAAACUCUAAAUGUGAUAUGUUGUGGAAUUGUUUUCAUAGUCCUUAACAAGAUGCAUGCGGCAUGUACUGAACUUUAACCUAAUUCCUUCUACCAAUUUUUCUGGCCCCAAGUUACUAGGGACUAUGGCUCCGAUUGGGUGGUUUUUGAGUAGUCAAAAACCAUUUUUAAAGCUUAGUAAAAAAUUUUAUGCCCCUCAUUUUAUUUAAACAAUUUAUAACUUAAAAAAAUAAGAAAAUAAAAAAAAAUGUUUUUUUAAGCUUUAUUUUGACUUAUUCAAAAAGUUUUUUUAUUUUUUUUAUUUUUAUGUUUAAUACAUUUUUUAUAAUUUCAAUAUUAUUUUUAAAAAAUAGUGACUUUUAGCUUUUAAUUAAAACUAAGAACAAGAAGUUAUUCCAAAUAUGACUUAUGUAUUCAUUCAAUGAAAGUAACUUUUUCAUUUAAAAAAAGUAAUUUCUUGGUGAUAAAAAGAAAUAUUUUUUUAGUAGCUUUUUGAUGCUAUAAAAAAAGUGUUGGCUAAGUUUGUAUGAUAAAAUUGGUGUUAUUUAUAUACCUGCACUUUUGCUAGGGUCUUAUUUAUAGGGAAACUUGUGUUUAAUAUGCUCAAUUCUAUUUCUUUGUAUGGCUAUGCAAUUGUUCAGAUUUGGCAACACUAAUCAAUAAAUGUACGUUAUAUUUGAAACAUUGGAAUAAAAAAAAGAAUAAGAGUUAAUUUUAUUUUCAAUUUAUUACUAUAUUUGAAUUAUUUUUUACAAUGAUAAUAGAAUUAAAAAGAAAAUCACUUAGUAACCCUUAGGUACUACCUUAAUAUACCUUAAAUAACCUUAAUCGAUCUUAGAUAUUAUCUUAGUUACACUUGGGUACUACCUAUGUGAAGCCUCAAAACUUCAUUUGUAGACAUUACUUCAUGUGUGAACAUUAGAGAUGACAUUAUGUGCACCUUUAAUAAGUGUUACUAAGGUAGUACCUAAGGUACAAUCAACACUAUAUCAAAGGUGCACAUAAUGUCAUGCUCUAAUGUUCACAAAUAAAGUAAGUAAUGUUUACAAAUGAAGUUUCCAGGCUUCACACAGGUAGUAUCCAAGUCUAAUUAAGUAGUACCUAAGGUCGGUAAGGUAGAUUAAGGUAAUACCUAAGGGUUACUAAGGUAGUACCUAAGGUACAAUCACCACUAUAUCAAAGGGGCACAUAAUGUCAUGCUCUAAUGUUCACAAAUAAAGUAAGUAAUGUCCAUAAAUAAAGUUUCGAGGCUUCACACAGGUGGUACCCAAGUUUAACUGAGAUAAUACCUACAAUUAGUUAAAAUUAGUACCUACAAUCAGUUAAGAUAGUACUUAAGAUAAAUUAAUGUAGUACCUAAAGGUUACUAAGGUAGUACCUAAAGGUUACUAAGGUAGUACCUAAGGUACAGUAAAUACUAAAGAACAAUAAAUAAAAAUUAAUUACCUUCGUAUUUCGAGUAGGGGUUAGGGAAAAAUGUGACAGAAUGACAGGAAGACGAGACAUUUUUUUUUAGGAAACCAAUAUUUUGGAUUUCACCUUUUCGUCCAAGUACGCUUUGCUAUAGAAAAAUCAAUAUCAUAGUUGCGCCUAUUGAAACCAUCUUUUAACUGGACGUUCUUAGGAUGGAGUGCUCCAUUUGGUUGUUGAGAAUUUAGACAAGAAAGAAAAAUGCAGGUUGGAGUUUUGGAUUAAGGGUUUCUUUUCUCAAAUUGAAGAAAUUUUAGGAAAUUUUAAAUGGGUUUUAGGAUCGUCUGGGUGAUAAAGCCAAGAGAAAUAGAGAAAGAAAUGUUUCCAACCUUUAAGAGGAAAAAGUUUCAGAUUUGGGAAAUUUGAGAUGGUUCCCGGGUCAAGUGUUUUUUUGUGUUUUAGAUUUGAGAAGUUUCAAAUUCUUGGAGAAGAUAUAAAUAUGUAGAUUUGAAUUUUAAGGGUUUCUUUUUUGAAAUGAGAGAAAUUUUGGAAAAUUUUAUAGGUGUCUUUCUAAUUCGGCUAGGUAAGGAAGUGAAGAGAGUUGAGAGAAAAUGUUCCCAAAUGAGAGAGAUGGAAAGUUUUUGAUUUGGGAAAUUAGAGGUGUUGUCAGGAUGGGUGUUUAUGAGAACUUUCAAAUUCUAAUUUUUGUGUUUUGUUUAAUUUCAGAAGGUCUUGUUGACAUGAAAAGCUGACUUACUGCUGACAUGGAGACAUUGAGGGACAAUCUGGGAAUAGAAAAUGUAAACAUGACAUAGUGCAUGAGAACGAUAAUAUUUUCUCCAAUAACAGGGAAAUAUCAUAUUUCAUAUACUUGGGGUUCGAAAAGCAUAUAAUUUUCAAAUCACAGACUGAAAACACAAGUUUCCCAUAAAUAUACUUAAAGCAUGUUUGAUAACAAUUUUGAAAAAUAAUUUUCGAAAAUAGUUAUUUAAAAUUGUUUUUUGAUGUUUACAACAUAAAAAAAAAAAAAAAACAUGUUUGACAACCUAAAAUAAUUUUUAUAUCUAAUAUUUUAUUUUUAAUAAUUCGAUAUAUUUGUAUAAUUAUUUUUAAAAAUAGCUGUAAAAAAUAAGUGAAAACAAGUAAAGAUGUUAUCCGAAAACAUUAUAUUUUUUAUUUUUAAAAACAAAAAAUAGUUUUUCUUAUUCUCAAACAAGUUUUCCUGUUUUUUACGAAGAAAAAAUUAUUGUCAAACAAUCCCUUAUAUACUUGUGUUUUAUCAAGUGGUGAAAUAUCUUUGUAUGAAUUAUAUAGCAACUCAUAAGAGUAAGAGAAAAAGAGACAAUUUUAAAAGUGCAUAUGACAAGUGGAAAUUAUUAGAAAAGAGGCAAUUUUAAGAAUGGAUUUGAUAUGUGUCACAAAGACCACUAAAAUUUGGUGUGAAUAUAUAAAUAAGUUUUAAAUUUUGUUGAUUAACAUAUCUAUAAAUUUUUUUAUUUAUAAAAUUUAAUUUUUAGAGAAAUUUUAGAUAAAAAGAUUUUAGAUCUAUUCAAUCAAAAAUUGAAAGAGUAACUUAAUGUAUUUACUCUAAGCCUCAUGGUGUGUGAAUUAAACCAACCUUCAAAGAAAAAUAGAAAAAAAAAAAAGUGAAUCAUAAUAAAAAGGAAAGUAGUCAAAAUCAAAAGGAGAAUCAAAUUUGAUUUCCAUAUUAGUGAUUUUUUAAAAAAAAUUCUAUUAUCAUUGUAAAAAAUAAUUCAAAUACAUUAAUAAAUUGAAAAUAAACUUAACUCUUAUUCUCAUUUCUUAUUCCAAUGUUUCAAAUAUAACGUCCAUUUAUUGAUUAGUGUUGCCAAAUCCGAACAAUUGCAUAGCAAUACAAAGAAAUGGAAUUGAGCAUAUAAAACACUUUUUUUUUAUAGUAUCAAAAAGCUACUGAAAAAAAUAUUUCUUAUCUCCAAGAAAUUACUUUUUUAAAAUGAAAAAAUUACUUUCAUUGAAUGAAUACAUAAGCCGUAUUUGGAAUAACUUCUUAUUCUUAAUUUUAAUUAAAAGCAAAAAGUCACAAUUUUUUAAAAAUAAUAUUGAUAUUAUAAAAAAUGUAUUAAACAUAAAAAAACCUUUUUGAAUAAAUCAAAAUAAAGCUUUAAAAAAAACAUUUUCUUGAUUUUCAUAUUAAGUUAUUUUUUAAGUUAUAAAUUAUUUAAAUAAAAUGAGCAGCAUAAAAAAUCUUAUAGAGCUUUAAAAAUGGUUUUUGACUACUCAAAUCCACCCAAUCGGAACCAUCAUCCCGGUAACUUGGGGCCAGAAAAAUUGGCAAAAGGAAUGAGGUUAAAGUUCAGUACGUGUUGCAUGCAUCUUAUUAAAGACCAUAAAAGCAAUUCCAUAAUAUAUCACAUUUGGAGUUUUGGAUUUGGGUUUUUAAACUAAAAUGAGAGAAAUUUUGGGUUGUCGAAAGCGAAGAAAGAUGAGAGAAAACUUUCAAAUAAGUAAAUUGAAAACUUACAGAUUGUGUGUGUGUGUUUUUUUUUUUUUUUUUUAAAAAAAGUUAUAGAUUAAGAUUUUAAUAUUUUUUUUUUCUUAAUUUCAGUGGUUUGAUUGAUAUAGAGGUUGAAAUGAUGUUGAGGAUGCUAAGCUGGAGACAUGAAUGGGCAACUUGGGCAUGAAAGAUGGAGCCAGCUCAGAGGCAUAAAAACGAUAAUACUUUUUAUAUUAAAAAUUGAUUUUCAUAUUAAAUUUUAUACAUCUAUUUUAAAACAAUUAAAAUUUUAUUCAAUUUUCAAUUAUAAUAUAUGCACUGCCUCUCGCGGGUCGAUACUGCUGACGAGUGCAUGAAAUUAUUAUAAAUAUCUCAUGGAAUGAGGACAGAUUAAAGAAGAGGAGAGAGAGAGAGAGAGAGGGAGAAGAAGAAGACAACCAAAAAAGAAAAGGAAGACAGCAUUGUAAACAUAGAAAAUGGAAAGUAUUGGAAAUAUUUCAUGAAAUCGGAGUAAACAACAAAACAAAAUAAAAUACUUUUAAUCCCUGUUUCCUACUUCUGUCAUAAAGUAUGGAUAGAGAUGAGACGAAGGAGGAGAAGGAGGAGAAGGAGGAGCACUCAGCUUUCACCGAUACUGCAGUGUGUUGUGGUGGUGUAGCAUAUGGUAGGAUGUCAUUCUUGCUCCAAAAGUGUGGGCAGAUCCAUUUUUAUUUUCCUUUUUUCAUCUCUGUCCUCACUGAUUCGUUUUGGGUAUCCAUCAAUAUUUAUCAGUGGGCUUGGUGUUAGUCAAAAGCCACCAAUUUUUCUUUCCUUUUUUUUUUUCCCAUAUAUUAGAAUGAAAUGUUGUUGUCCAUUUUAGGGGAAGGCGUUAUGCUGAACUGAACUGUGCGAGGGGAAUGAAAAUUAAUUUAGGGGUUUUCUUCCUCCUCUAUUUUUGGCUCUCUUUCAUGAGGGUACAGAUUCUCUUUUUUUCUCUCGGAGUGUUUGGAUUGUUUCAUUCCAUUUAACUAUUUUUGCAGCAUAUUCCGAGUGUUAUAGGUAUUGGGUAAUCAGUAAUACAGAAAAUGUAAUAUAAUUUUGUACUAUGUAGUUUUGGACUUGGGGUAGGAUGAGUUUAAUUUAUGUAGAUUCAUGUCACUAUUCUCAGCCUUCAAUGCAUUGAUUUCUCCAGAUUUUGAUAUAUAUAUAUAUAUAUAUAUACAAACUGCAAUGGGAAUAAAAAGGAUGGUUGUUUCUUCAAGAAUUCUGAGAAAAAAAAAGGGGGUGGGGGGGCAAGAGAGGUUUGAGGAGGCCAUUGGGACUGUUAUCAGUUCUGUGUCUUUUGUUUUCAAGUUGUAAGAAGUCCCUGUUAUGCCAUUUGCUAUGUUGUUUCUGUCCAAUUUUCAGUUGAAAGAGUGGUAGAUUAGAGAAGGAGGAAUGGCUCAGACAUCUGGAUGCAGCUCUGGAGAUAGUAGAUGGUCUCUCAAGGGAAUGACUGCUCUCGUAACUGGUGGAACUAAAGGAAUUGGGUUUGUGAUGUUACCUGUAUUCUAUGUCUUUGGUUUGGACUACACCUUCCUUCCCAUAUAUAAAUGUAUGUAUCAAUUAUGCAGGCAUGCAAUUGUGGAAGAACUGGCUGGACUAGGAGCAACCAUACACACAUGUUCUAGAAAAGAAACCGAGCUCAAUGAAUGCUUGAAGGAUUGGAAAGCUAAAGGUUUUGGAGUGAGUGGUUCAGUGUGUGAUGUAUCCUCUCGGGCCCAAAGGGAGAAGCUAAUGCAGACUAUCUCUUCUGUGUUCAAUGGGAAGUUGAAUAUCCUUGUAAGUUCCUCUAGCCUGUAAAGUUCCAACCUGUGAUCUUAUACAUAAUUUGUUGAACUUAUUACAAUUGAGUUCCCCUGCUUGAAUUUUUGUUGGAUUCAGAUCAACAAUGCUGCUAUAAGUAUUCAGAAACCAACAAUAGAGGUCACAGCUGAAGAGUUCUCAACAAUCAUGGCCACAAAUUUUGAAUCUGUGUACCAUCUGUCCCAAAUCGCACACCCCCUUUUAAAGGCAUCAGGAGCCGGAAGCAUUGUAUUCAUCUCCUCUGUUUCCGGCAUAGUGGCACACAAGAAUAUCUCUGCUUAUUCAGUAACCAAAGGUAUUUCAUCACAUGAUCCAUGGUAUAUUCCAAGUGCUAGGAGUAAAUUCCUAUUUACCAGAGCAAUACUGAACAAGAGAAACAUAUAGAAUUUAUAGCGGUUCUCUUCUAAAGGGAGAGCUACAUCCAUUUUGCCAUUGUAGAUUUUCAUUAUGAAAAAAAAAAAAACCUACAGAACGAUCUCAGGUCUUACAAUAAUUAUCUCAUCUCUGAUUUUCCACAGAGAAAACAGUCACCAUGCAUGUACAAAAUAACUAUAAUAUCCCUUUGAUUGAUUCUCAGUCACCAGGAAAAGUGUAUAUUGUAAUUAGCAAGGCUCCACACAACUGAACAGCAAGUCCUUGGAUUGACCAUCUGUCAUUAUCAUUUUGUGAUUUUUCAGGAGCAAUGAAUCAACUUACAAAGAAUUUGGCAUGCGAGUGGGCGAAAGACAAUAUUAGAAGUAAUGCUGUAGCUCCUUGGUACAUCAAAACUCCAAUGGUGGAGCAGGUAAUUUCUAAUUUCCCUUCACAUCAUUUAGUUGCUCGAAUUCCCUUCUUUUUUUCUUGGUCUGGGAAAAUAGAAUAAUUGACUCGUCCUUCCUUCUCUGUCGUUUACAUUCUCUGGGUUCCAGAUGCUCACUAACCAAGCCUUUCUGGAAGAGGUGAUAAAUCGAGCUCCACUUCGUCGUGUGGGAGAUCCAAAGGAGGUGUCAUCUUUGGUAGCAUUCCUCUGCCUACCGGCAUCAUCUUACAUUACUGGACAGAUUAUUUGUGUUGAUGGUGGCAUGACUGUUAAUGGUUUUGAGUCAAACCUGCUCUAGGAACAUCAUAUGUGAUGGUAUUAUAGCCCUAAUUUGGCUGGCAUGUAUGGAGACUCUUUCAAACAUCUUAGCUUCCUCUACUGCUUCCAUGCCUGGAUCCUUUCUUUUUCCUGAAUAAUCUGCUUGUCAUGCCAAAGUCUUUAGUUUUUUUGGUGUGGGGUUCCCUUGAAAACCUUGCUGCAUGAUGCUUAUAAUAAUGUUUGGAAAGUUUGCUAAUUUUUAUUUGGGUUCAAAUUUUAAUUUUUCAAAAAGUUUCUUAUUAUUUGAUGAGAUUCUUGUGAAGGGUGUUUUUAUAAGGAUUUUAAUUCCAUACAUAAAUCAUACAUCUUUAAUCUCAAUACCAUUGAAAUAUAUAUCCAAUCCUUUGUUGUUCUUUCGUUUUUUUGUAACUUAAUUGUAGUAGGAUCGGAAAUAUGCGAACACUUUCUACUUUUGACCAUUUGCUUUGCUAAAUUAGACCAACUUUUCAUAAUACAAUUCUCAAGUAUUUCUUCAUUUUCAUUACAAUGAUCAUGCAUGGAUAUGGAAAAACUAAUCGGACUCUAAUGUCGUUCAAAUGCAUUUCAUAGAUCAAUCUUCAUCGUCGUAUCCUAAUUUUCAAAACUUGUUAGAACUUCUAAACUUAGUCAAUAUGUAUAGACAUGAUAUCCUCCAUGAUUUUUUUUUAUUGCAACGAAAAAAAGUUAUACAUUCUAUAUUUGAUCCCUAAAUAAAAAAGAAAAAAAGAAAAAAAAAAGAAUGUCUUGCAAAAAUAUUAGGGUUGCACAAAGUUUGGUUGUUAGAAUAAGUAAAAAUGAUGUGCAUCAAAAUAUGUCUUUGAGAAUGGCAAAUAUGUGAGUGCGCUUUAAAAACUCAAAUGGCUUCAAAUGAAUUUCAAGGAAAUGAUUCCAACAUAUAUUCAUCUUCUUAUACCUUUCUGUGCUUCUCCACCAUUUGUAACAAUUUCCUCACUCAUUUGUAAUCCUAAUAAACCUUCCGACCUAUUUUAAAAUUUGUCAAUAUAUUUUAAGCUAAGCUCACCAUCUAUAGUAUCAAAAAAAUUUCUCCUUAAUCCAUGUGGGAUAUGUAUAAUGAAUAAUAUUUGCUCAAAGGUUAAAUAUAUGAAAAUAAUUAAGAUUCAAUCACAUAAAAAUUACAUAUAGCAAGUAGGGAUAACAAUUUUGAUACUAAUAUAAUAAAACGACUAAAAAAUUACAUGGAUUUUAGUAGUUUUGGGUUAAGUAUAAUCAUAUUUAUGUUAUAAUUGUGUAAACACAUUUAUUAAACCAAUGAUAUUGGAAUGUGACUAUUCAACUCAUUUAACCCAUUUAUUUAUUCAUAUCAAAACACAUCUAUGAUAUGAUUAUGAGAACUAAUUUAUGAUUGACAUAACCAAUUUAUAACUUAUUAAUUAAUUCAUAUAAAUUUAUUAAUUUUAUAGAUAUUUAAAAAAUAUUAAAAAUUUAAAACACUUUUUCAAUUAUAAAGAUGUCCUAUAAAACACUAAGGAGGUCACCCUUAUUUAUAUAUGAAAUUAGGGAAUUAAAUUUGAAAUAUAUGAUAUUUGAUUACUUAAUUUAAAGAAUUUGAUUUCUUAAUUUCAAUAACUUUUCAGCCUCAUUUAAGAAAUUUGCCAACAAUCAAAUGUUUUUUCUAAGUCCCUUUUGACUUCAAUUUCCCAAUUUGUUUCUCCUAUUUGAGAAAUCUAUCAAUAAGAAAAUAUUUCUCUCUAAUUCCUUUUUAACUUUAAUUAUUUUAUUUUAUUUUAUAAGACUAGAUUUUGAAACCGUUCAAAUUUUACCGUGUGUUAUUUUUAAAAUCGUAUAUCGCAUGUUCAAUGUGUAGAAUUCAUGACUUAUGAAAUCCAAAUUUUAUUGAACUAUAGGGUUAUAACUUUAGUGACAAAUUUUAUAGUAAUUUAAUCCUUCUUUUAUUUUUAAGCCUACAUAGCUCAACAAGUUGAAUAUAUUUUUAUCGUGUUAAUGGGUUAUCAGUCUUGAUUUAAUUUAAUUUAUCAAAGAGGUUAAAUGAAUGAUUCCCAAUUUGCCACCACAAUAACAAGAGACAACAGACAGAAGGAAAGAGAAACUAAAAUACGUAAUGUGACUUUUCCUUUCAUGUUGCUUACUAUACUUGGUGUCUCUUAAUUUGUUUUUAUUAUAAGAUGUUAAUAAUAUGAUUUUAUUGAUUUAUACCCCAUAUAUAUCAUUUGAGGGAUUGAAAAUAUUGCAAAUUCAUAAUUAAAUUUAAAAGAUAAAUACAUAUACACACACACACAUAUAUAUAUAUAUAUAUAUAUAUAUAUAUAUAUAUAUGAAUAAAAAAAAUCAUCUAUGUAUAAAAUAAUAAUAAGUAGUCUAUUUUUAUCAUUUUUAUGUUAGAAGUUAAUCGAAAACAUAUUUUUUGUUUUUCCAUAAUUUAUACAAAAUUAUAAUAAAAUUUUUAUUCUAGAUAAAAUUAUAUUUUAUAAUUUGUAAUAAUUUAAUUAUAUCAAUUUAAUAUUUUGAUAUCCGUCGUAAAUUAUAUAGAAAUAUUGGAGUGCAAAUACUAAACUACAUAAUAACAACAAGACACCUUAUUCAUCCAAAUUUUCAAAUUUCAAAUAGAAAAUAUUAAAAACAUAAUUUUUAAAUUUAUUAAAAUAUUUAUAUUUGUAAAAAAGUAAUUAAUAAAGAUUUUAAAAUUUUAAAUAUGAUUAAUGAGAUUAUUAUGUGGGUAUUUAUUACUAAUAUUUAAUAUUAAAAAAAAUAAAAUAACAAUAUGAUAUUAAGAUUAUAUUUUUAUAAAUAUAGCAAAAUGAGAUUAUUCUAAAUUCAGUGAUGAUAACAUUAUAGUAAAAAUAAGGAGUGAUAUAAUUAUAAAUAUUUCACUAAGAGCAUAAAAAAUAAAAAAAUAUGGUAAAUUUAGCGAGUAAUAUUGUUACUAUAAAUAUCUGGUGACACGACGACAGAUAUAUGAGUAGAGAAAAACCUCGCUAUUCUACAUAUAGAGAUUCAGAUACCAUUGCCUAUGUCAUGAAAUCAGAGUCCACAAGAAGACAACAUAAAAUGCUAUCGAUCCAUCGCUGUUUCUUGCUCCUGUUAUAAAUUAUGGAUACUAGAUGAAGAUGAGAAGUAGAAGGAGAAGAAACACUUAGCUUUCAAGGAGUCGUAGAGCAGAGGAGGAGACAUGGCUCAGACAUGUGGGUGCAGCUCUGGAGAUAGUAGAUGGUUUCUCAAGGGAAUGACUGCUCUUGUAACCGGUGGAACUAAAGGAAUUGGGUUGGUGUUACCUGUUUUUACGUCUUUGGGUUUGGACUACACCUUCCUAUAUAUAAACGUAUGUAUCAAUUCUGCAGGCAUGCAAUUGUGGAGGAACUGGCUGGAUUAGGAGCAACCAUACACACGUGUUCUCGAAAAGAAAGCGAGCUCAAUGAAUGCUUAAAGGAUUGGAAAGCUAAAGGUUUGGAGUGAGUGGUUCAGU
Molecule: long non-coding RNA, 13287 nt
Filed under: Vitis vinifera (wine grape)
Lineage: Eukaryota; Viridiplantae; Streptophyta; Magnoliopsida; Vitales; Vitaceae
Description: long non-coding RNA (VVIN_LNC001743)
Source: RNAcentral